Molecule: regulatory RNA element, 147 nt
Organism: Fusobacterium varium ATCC 27725
Lineage: Bacteria; Fusobacteriati; Fusobacteriota; Fusobacteriia; Fusobacteriales; Fusobacteriaceae
Rfam family: glmS glucosamine-6-phosphate activated ribozyme aptamer
About the family: This entry contains a glucosamine-6-phosphate activated ribozyme that is found in the mRNA for GlmS. GlmS is an enzyme that uses fructose-6-phosphate and glutamine to generate glucosamine-6-phosphate.
Source: Rfam
AAUGUAAGACAAGCGCCAGAACUUUUAACAAAAGUUGACGAGGACUGAGAUAAUCGAAAUUUCGGCGGGUUUCUCAGAGGUGGUUACAACCGUUACUAACAAAGCUAUAGGGUAACCUAUAGAACAAAGAGGUAACUGUAACAAGUC